RNAcentral lists this ribosomal RNA (480 nucleotides) under uncultured bacterium. RNAcentral describes it as "bacterial SSU rRNA". It matches the Rfam family "Bacterial small subunit ribosomal RNA", at positions 31 to 507 of the family's 1533-position model. The record is from RNAcentral.
GAACGCUGGCGGCAUGCUUACACAUGCAAGUCGAACGGCAGCACGGGAGCAAUCCUGGUGGCGAGUGGCGAACGGGUGAGUAAUAUAUCGGAACGUGCCCGGUCGUGGGGGAUAACGUAGCGAAAGCUACGCUAAUACCGCAUACGAUCUACGGAUGAAAGCGGGGGAUCGCAAGACCUCGCGCGAUUGGAGCGGCCGAUAUCAGAUUAGGUAGUUGGUGAGGUAAAGGCUCACCAAGCCGACGAUCUGUAGCUGGUCUGAGAGGACGACCAGCCACACUGGGACUGAGACACGGCCCAGACUCCUACGGGAGGCAGCAGUGGGGAAUUUUGGACAAUGGGCGCAAGCCUGAUCCAGCAAUGCCGCGUGCAGGAUGAAGGCCUUCGGGUUGUAAACUGCUUUUGUACGGAACGAAACGGUGAGCUCUAAUACAGUUUGCUAAUGACGGUACCGUAAGAAUAAGCACCGGCUAACUACGUG